GAAUUUAAUAUAAAUUUUAAUUGAAGGUUUGUAGAUAAAAUAUAAAUUAGAAUUUAUAUUUGGUUGGGAGGAUUGUUAAAUUAAAUGAACUUUAAAGUAAAAAAACAUUGAUUUAUGAUUAAAUUUUAGUGAUUAAGAUUUUUGUGAUGAAGUUUUAUAAAAGAAUUAAUUACCUUAGGGAUAACAGCGUAAUAUUUUUAAAAAGAUCUUAUUGAUAAAAGUGAUUGC
RNAcentral lists this ribosomal RNA (228 nucleotides) under Camponotus linnaei. Its description in RNAcentral is "partial large subunit ribosomal RNA". The record is from RNAcentral. Lineage: Eukaryota; Metazoa; Arthropoda; Insecta; Hymenoptera; Formicidae.